Molecule: non-coding RNA, 111 nt
Organism: Caerostris darwini
Lineage: Eukaryota; Metazoa; Arthropoda; Arachnida; Araneae; Araneidae
Source: the annotation of a GenBank genome assembly
AACGGCCAUACCUUGCUGAAUAUGGCGGUUCUUAUUCAAUCACCGAAGUCAAACAUCAUCGGGUGCGGUCAGUAUUUGGAGAGGUGACCACCUGGGAACACUGCGUGACGU